RNAcentral lists this microRNA precursor (83 nucleotides) under Bombyx mori (domestic silkworm). RNAcentral's name for it is "mir-2807 microRNA precursor family". It matches the Rfam family "mir-2807 microRNA precursor family". Lineage: Eukaryota; Metazoa; Arthropoda; Insecta; Lepidoptera; Bombycidae. The record is from Rfam by way of RNAcentral.
UUCAUGUAGUUUGUAUGGAAUGGGAUCGUUUGCGUACGUUUGCCGCUAGGGGCGCUGUUCCAACUGCAUACAAAAUUGGGUUA